UGUUGAAGUCGUUGCAAAAGGUGUCAUUAAAGAAAACUUGAAACUCGGGGCUGGUGAAUCCUGGAAAUUGAGUAGCAAAUUUGAGUUUCACUUCUUGUAUUAUGGUGUUAACACAUGAAAAUGUGUUAGGGCCUACUGAGCAUCCAAGGUCCGCAAUCCUGACAACUUUGCAACUUUUCUGUAUAUCAAGAUGGUCUCUUAUGCACCCGAUUAGCAGCGAUUUUGUGACAUCGAAUGACUCUUCCUGUCAUCAGUAAAUCAUGUAAUUACGUAUAAUAUUUGAAUUACGUAUAAGCAAGCCAUCCAUGUUUUAAUACAUCUACAAAUAUAAAAGUUUUAUCAUUUUGGUAUGCUUUAAAGACUAUACCCAGAACACAUGUGUGAUUAUAUCAUACCAUCGAUGCAUUAUUAGUUUAUUUGUUUGUGCAAGGAGAUUAUUUAAUCAAUGUGCAAGUUCAUAAGUACAAAUCAAGUACCUGUAUCUUCGAAUUUUGGGUGUAGCUGUUAGGGCCAUCUCCACCGUUCAUAGCUACAUUGUACUCCAUUUUCUGGCUGACAAACACUUUAGUGGACACUGGACAGUAAAACGAACCCGGUUGUUUUAAUUAAACAUCAUGUCACUAUGAAUUACGUUUUAUUCAAAAAAAAUAAAUUAUUACGCAUAAUUAACAACACUCGCAUGAUCUCGCUCGCAAGAUAACUUAAAACAAGACAACAACUAUAUCACACAAUUUAUUUUACUUUUUUGACAGAACUAUAUUACACAAUCAACAGAAAAACCCACAAUCAUCCUAGAUCUAACAUACACAAGUACAUGCAACAUAUACAUACAUGAUACAGUCAUACAGCUAUACUCACAAAACGUGUUCAACAAAAACAUAAAGCUACCUGUAAAUUAGAGAUGAUGGGAGUGAAAGUUGUGUUCUUGAUGAUGUAUAGAUUCAGAAAUUUGUGUGUAUAGUUUAUACUUCUGGCUUAGCGUUUGUUUUUAUUUAGUACUAUCAAUGAUAGUACUAUCACUACUAUAGCAUAUGUUUUUGAUGAAAUAAAGAUGAUGUGAGGAUAGCUGUGGGCCUGUGGAUGCGUUAGCAAUAUCAGAUUAGGCCGACAAUCUGUUUGUUUUAUCAAUACUCCCUCCGUCCCGGUCAUUUCUAUACAGUUUACUUUUUGGGACGUCCCAUCAUUUCUAUACAUUUCUAAAAUAGCAACUUUUAAUAAUGUAAAACACUAUUACACCAACUACUUUCUUCCACUAUCUUCAUUUUAUAAUAAUAUAAACACUAUUACACCCACUACUUUCCCCAACUAUCACACAUCUAUACUUAAAUACAAAUGGGUUCCACCAUUUUACCUCACUUUUCAUCUAACUUUACACAUUUUUUACAUUUUUUCUUGGUCUCCGUGUCCACACCAAAUGUAUACAACCUACUGGGACGGAGGGAGUAAAUCUUAGCCUAUAUUCCCGUACUUCCUCAUGGUUUGUCCGGGGUGCCGUUAAAAAAUUACUGUGUUAAUAAAUUUUUGGUGAGGUUUGAUGGUGAAAUUUGUAACAAGUUUUUGCAAAAGCUGAAAACAGUUUUUUUCAGUUAGCUUUUAGAUUACCAAACAAUUUUUCACCUAUUUUUCAGCAAAAAAUUGUUGUUACUGUCUGCAACAACUAACCCCAAACAAUACCUCAGUUGUUUCACCAUUUUAUUAUCAUUUUCUCGUGUAUGUUUAUGAAUUUUUAUUUUCGACUUCAGCCAAAUUUUCACUUUCAACUGCACCCCAAAAAAUCACCUAUAAAUUUUUGACUUCACAAAUUAUUACCGAUCCUAAUAUAAUUAUAUUUUUAUAAUAUGUAAUUUAUAUAAAGUUAUAUUCUGCAUUUCAUGAUUAAAUAUUAAAUUUAUCAUGUCCAAAAAUUAUUUUUAAGAUUUAAUAUUGUUUAACUAGAAAAAUAUAUGUACAUUUUUAUUAAUAAAAAAAUCUGAUGAAUAAAUGUAUUGGUUGUUUAUAAUUUUAACAUUAUAAGUUAUUAAUAUUUUAGAUUGUUAAAAUAAAAUAUGUUCAAUAUGAUUAUAAAUGAUGUGUGAUUCCAUAAGCAUAAUGAGAGGUUGGCUAAAAUUGUAGACACCGGUUGAUUAUGAUUUUUUUCGAAAGGUUAGAUUAUAUCUUUUAACUAAGUUUUUUAAGAUUGGAGAGGGUCUAAAUCUAGUAUAUAAUUUUAAAACUAUAACCAAUUUCAAAAGCUAAAAUAUAAAAUUUAAGGUUAAAAAAACAAAAACAUCCUGACCUACGAUAAUAAAUUUUAAAAAAAUUAAUGGGUAUGCUCCAAUACCAAAAUCUGGAGAUCAAAAGAUCAGCAGCAAGCAAUAAAAAUCACAUAUUGCACCAAGAGCAAUCAAGAACACGUGAGAUGCUGCUUCUGGUAAAUCAACUUCAACUAAAACAAGAACUUGAGUCAAGUUUAUAAUUAGCACAACACACAUAAGUUUUAUGAAAAUCUGGUUAAAUAGUGGUAUUUGAUACUUGUAAUAGACUUUUUAUGCCAGGUUACUGGCUGACAAUGCUGAUCAUGGUUGAAAGAACGACGAGCCCUCUGGGAUUUAAUAGAGACCUGAGCUCUGAUGAGAGCUUGCAUACUAUAAAGUGUGGCAGCAGCUCCUUCCUCACUAGGUAGCCUCUAACAAGAGCUUAUAGUUUAACCUUUCAGAGUCCGGAGAGCUUUUCAUGAUUGACAGUUAAGCAUAAUUAGAUAGAAACCAAAAUCUAAAUGCAGAGUGAACAAAGCAGAUUCAAAAAAUAAUACGCCGUGACCUCCUUUGAGAUGUUCUUACAAGGGAAUAGGAGUAUCUACUCGCCUAAACGAGUUCAUCCUACAUGAUCACUCGCUCAAUAGCUACGGAAACAAUACCAACCUUGUCAAAAUUCUUAAACCGGGCUGAAAAUUCUGUGAACUUAUUGCAAUAUCGGUGAAAAAGGUCAUCCAUGAGAAUAUCUGGCCCAAAGUGUUUGUUUAUAAUUCCUUCCAUCGCUGCUCUCAGAUGAGAACUUCCAUACAUAAUAUCUUCAGCAGAACUCAUCUUUACUUUCAAAAAUGAUUCCUCCACCUUGAGAAUAUUCAAAUGCUUAUCACCGGACACUAAUUUAAUCACCUCAGACGGUGUCGGUAUAUAGAGUGGUAGAUUGAACGAGUCUAGAAGUUCUUCCGCUACUAGGCCCUGUAAUUCAAGAAGUUAAUCAAUGUCAUGCAAUUCAAAAAUUUGUACAUAGCAGAUGCAUUAAUUACCUCCUUAACCAUGUCGGUGAAAGCGUCUCCCAAGAUAUCUAUUGGUUCCAAGAUGCUUAGUACAGAUUCAUUGCUCCUGCAGGGGAUGGAUAUGAAUAUUAACCCUCCAGGCGCUAACUCUGCAGAUCUUGCACCAAUGAAAGCUUUAAAAUCGCUCAUAAACUGAGCAGCGAAAGCCUGUUUGACUUCAAUAGAACUUCUGACAUAACUUAUUCUGCCUUUGUUCCACGCCCUGGAGUCCUUUGUUAGUACUUCUUUAGGAACUUGAGAAAUCCAAUGACAAGAGAAAGAAGAGUGUAUCAAAUUCAUGGACUCUUUUGGGAACAAUUGACCGUAAAAAGAGCCAGGAACUCCUACUGCCAUGUACAACCUAUCGAUAGGAAGAGCAUUGAAUAGCGUGUUAAAGUCAUUGGAGAAGGUGUCAUUAAAGAAAACCUGAAACUCGGGGAGGCUGAUGAAUCCUGGAAAUUGAGUAUGAAACUUGAGUUUCACGUCUUGUAUUAUGGUGUUUUAACACAUGAAAAUGUGUUAGGGCCUACUGAGCAUCCAAGGUCCGCCAUCCUGAAAACUUUGCAACUUUUCUGUAUAUCAAGAUGGUCUCUUAUGCACCC
This 3882-nucleotide long non-coding RNA is filed under the name Daucus carota (carrot). Its description in RNAcentral is "long non-coding RNA (DCAR_LNC006343)". Lineage: Eukaryota; Viridiplantae; Streptophyta; Magnoliopsida; Apiales; Apiaceae. The record is from RNAcentral.